This 512-nucleotide long non-coding RNA is filed under the name Capsicum annuum. Its description in RNAcentral is "long non-coding RNA (CANN_LNC018185)". The record is from RNAcentral. Lineage: Eukaryota; Viridiplantae; Streptophyta; Magnoliopsida; Solanales; Solanaceae.
GCACUAUAAAGGUUUUCCUUGGUAUGUGUUUAUUAACAAUCAUGUUUCUGGACCAUCGGGGGAUGUUGUGUGACGGAUGGAAUCUUUCCAUCCUAAACUAGAGAUAUCGGAUUCAAAUCCUAGGAAUGAAAUGCAGUGUGAGACUGGAUUAAUCGGACUAGUAGGUUCCGUAUACCAAAUGUUUUAUCAACAAUGCCUUGUUUUUGGACCACCCAGGGAUGUUGUGUGACGUAUGGAAUCUUUCCUUCCAAAACUAGAGAUAUCAGAUUCAAAUCAUAGGAAUGAAAUGCAGUGUGAAACUGGAUUAAUCGGACUAGUAGGUUCUGGACACCAGAUAUUUUAUCAACAAUGCAUUGUUUCUGGACUACCUGGGGAUGUUGUGUGACGGAUGGAAUCUUUCCAUCCUAAACUAGAGAUAUCGGGUUCAAAUCCUAGGAAUGAAAUGCAGCGUGAAAUUGGAUUAACCGGACUAGUAGGUUCCGGAUACCAGAUGUUUUAUCAACAAGGCAUUG